RNAcentral lists this ribosomal RNA (94 nucleotides) under Acinetobacter baumannii. RNAcentral's name for it is "partial 23S ribosomal RNA". Lineage: Bacteria; Pseudomonadati; Pseudomonadota; Gammaproteobacteria; Moraxellales; Moraxellaceae. The record is from RNAcentral.
ACGUUGAGAGGUUGGAUGUGGGAGCAUAGUGAUAUGUGAAGCGGACCAAUACUAAUUGCUCGUGAGGCUUGACUAUACAUCCCCCAAGCAGUUG